This is a long non-coding RNA of Dendrobium catenatum, 387 nucleotides long. RefSeq lists it as uncharacterized. The record is from RefSeq and is a predicted model, not a curated record. Lineage: Eukaryota; Viridiplantae; Streptophyta; Magnoliopsida; Asparagales; Orchidaceae. The transcript has 2 exons.
GACUAUAAUAAUCAAUUCUAUUUGACGAGGUCUGUUAAUGCUUUAGCAAGGAGCUUAUGAAAUGACAGUAUAAAAUAAACUGGAUGCAGUAGAAGGGAAUGUACUAUAUCGAGUGGAGAUUUUAAACAACUUCUGUUGAAACAACCAAGUGGUGGAAGUUUAAGAUCAUGGAGCCGCCAUGUACCAUAAAGAUGAACUUUGAUAUCGAUUUAGAGACUAACAAAAUUGAUCGAGAUGGAAAUCAUUGUAUUGAAGGUAAAAGAAGCAUGCGUUUCUUUCUUUACAUUGUUUUGUUGGUUGAAUGGUGAAACAAUUCCUAGAGGGAUUAGCAUAAUCAUAAUUGGGAGCAUUGGCAAAUGCUAAGUGGUCCUUUUCUACUGAAACAAG